Molecule: ribosomal RNA, 83 nt
Filed under: Halalkalibacter suaedae
Lineage: Bacteria; Bacillati; Bacillota; Bacilli; Caryophanales; Bacillaceae
Description: Bacillus suaedae Bacterial small subunit ribosomal RNA
Rfam family: Bacterial small subunit ribosomal RNA
Source: Rfam by way of RNAcentral
UUUAUGGAGAGUUUGAUCCUGGCUCAGGACGAACGCUGGCGGCGUGCCUAAUACAUGCAAGUCGAGCGGACUAAUGGGAGCUU